RNA transcript from Musa acuminata subsp. malaccensis (wild Malaysian banana), 2142 nucleotides. It is a transcript of the gene named protein SUPPRESSOR OF FRI 4, with no coding region annotated. Lineage: Eukaryota; Viridiplantae; Streptophyta; Magnoliopsida; Zingiberales; Musaceae. The record is from RefSeq and is a predicted model, not a curated record.
UCGCAAAUCUCAACGCAAGGAGCGCAGGAAACCAGUCUGCCGCUCGCUGCGUCUUCCCCUGUUUAUUUUCGAUACGGGAAAUUUCUUCCAUUCGGUUUCCUCUUUGAUCGGCUGUCUCCAAAACCCUGAUCUCCGAACGCUCCGGCGUCCGAUCGAACAAAGAGAGAUCAUAAAACUGAUUCCUACGAUAAAGGGUCGCAGCGAUGGGGAAGAAGAAGAAGCGCCCGUCGAAGGUGUGGUGCUACUACUGCGAUCGGGUGUUCGACGACGAGAAGAUCCUUGUCCAGCAUCAGAAGGCCAAGCACUUCAAGUGCCAUGUAUGUCACAAGAAGCUCUCCACCGCCGGUGGCAUGGCCAUCCACGUCCUCCAAGUCCACAAGGAGACGGUCACCAAAGUUCCCAAUGCCAAACCUGAUAGAGAAUCAACAGAGAUCGAGAUUUAUGGAAUGCAAGGAAUUCCUCCUGAUAUUUUAGCAGCUCACUAUGGAGAGGAUGAAGAGGUAUCAGUAAAGGCAGCUAAACUGGAAGUUCCAUCCACUGGGCUCGUUGGUGGAGUGGUUCCUGGUCCACUGGGCAUCAGAUUCCCUCCCCCAACAUUAUAUGGUUCAGUUCCACCAGUAUACAAUCCCACAAUUCCAGUGAUGCCUCCAACAUGGCCUCUUCCAGCUGCUCAACCACAGCCUUGGUUUCGACCGCCAUUGGCUGUUUCAGUACCUCCACCUAUUGUGGCACCACAACAGCCAUUAUUUCCUGUCCAGAAUGUUACGGCUCCUAUGACCUCCACUUCUGCCCCUGGACUUCAAUCACCACUUCAAGCUGGUCCACCUGGCCUGCCCUCAUCUGCACCACCUGCAGUAUCCCAACCACUAUUUCCAAUCCACAGUCCAGCUGGUGCACCUGCUCAGAGGUCUCCAUUUUUGACAACAUCUUCACUUGCAAUCAUUUCAUCAAGCUCCCCAACAAUGUUGAAAGGUGGUACGCCAUAUGCAAACUCACAUAUGUAUGCAUCUGGUCCAAACACUGAGAAUCCUUCAAUUGGACCUCCACCUGUAAUAUCCAACAAACCACCUCCUUCUAAUCCUACCACAAAUGAGGUCUACUUGUUAUGGGAUGAUGAAGCAAUGUCAAUGGAGGAAAGAAGAAUGUCUCUAGCAAAGUAUCAGGUGCAUGAUGAAACUAGCCAGGUAAGUUAUUACUACCUUUUGUUUACUCAUUCUAAUGGAUAUGCAACUUGGUUGCGAAUCCAAAUAGGUAGGGGAAAAAGAAAGAAAUCCUUGCAGAUUUUUUGGGCUAUACUUUAAUGUACUUUACAUUUGAUAACUCCAUCUGAAUCUUGAUAAUACAGUCUAUUAUGGAAUAAUUGCAUUUGUGGCUCUUCUGAGUUUUACUACUAGGCCUUUUAUCUAAUUAAUUUGUAGUUAUGACACUGGUUGAUGGGAAAAAGGAUAUUCUUCUUCAUUCCCAUCGUCUCAUUUUUAGUGGGGCAUCAAACGAUUCCAAGUAGGUAUUUACAUUAUUUUUGCUGUUAGUUAGUGUUACAAAUCUGACAAGUUUGUGCUGCAAAUGACUCGAGGGUUCUCAACCUAGCACCAGGACCAUGCAAAAAUGUAUGUAUUGUGUUCUGAUUAAGUUUUGAGUUUCUUUUAUAUGGUAUUCAUUCUCCCUAUUGCUUCUUAAUGAGCGUGGGGCUUGGGUGGAACGAGAAUAUAUGCCAGCAGGCUUUUGUCAAUACGUAGCAUUUGUUGUUAUCUGUUUUUGAUCAGUGUGGGACCAGAGUUGAUGCAGAUGAGCUCCAUCGAUGCAGCUAUAGACAGAAGAAUAUCUGAGAGACGGCUUGCUGGCCGUAUGACAUUCUAGUAUUCCCCAGUGCUGGAAUGGUGAAGUCGGUGGUGACGGACUUUGGAAGCCUGGUUGAGUUUUUUGUCGCGGCAGUGGGCAGGUGCAAAUGGUGAUGGUAGACCAUUUUAUUGGUUAAACUUAAUGAUAUGAGUUGGAUGUUAAAGUGGCAGUUAAUGUUGCUAAACAGUUUGACUGGGUUCAUAGAAGAUCUUCCUCUUGUUCCAAGUAGGGUGUUCCAUCUUAAUGUAAUCCAUUUAAAAUGAUUUUAAUUUGAUUGUGGAGUAGACAAUUUGGAUCUUGUAA